Molecule: ribosomal RNA, 423 nt
Filed under: uncultured bacterium
Lineage: Bacteria
Description: bacterial SSU rRNA
Rfam family: Bacterial small subunit ribosomal RNA
Source: RNAcentral
UGAGGAAUAUUGGUCAAUGGGCGCAAGCCUGAACCAGCCAUCCCGCGUGAAGGAAGAAGGCGCUAUGCGUUGUAAACUUCUUUUCCAGGGGGAGAAUUUUUCCGUCGUGACGGGAAUUGACGGUACUCUGGGAAUAAGCAUCGGCUAACUCCGUGCCAGCAGCCGCGGUAAUACGGAGGAUGCGAGCGUUAUCCGGAUUUAUUGGGUUUAAAGGGUGCGUAGGCGGAUUGAUAAGUCAGUGGUGAAAGGCUGCAGCUUAACUGUAGACUUGCCGUUGAUACUGUCAGUCUUGAGUAUGGUCAAGGCAGGCGGAAUGUGUAAUGUAGCGGUGAAAUGCUUAGAUAUUACACAGAACACCGAUUGCGAAGGCAGCUUACUGGGCCAUUACUGACGCUGAUGCACGAAAGCGUGGGGAUCGAACAG